RNAcentral lists this long non-coding RNA (373 nucleotides) under Arachis ipaensis. RNAcentral's name for it is "long non-coding RNA (AIPA_LNC001824)". Lineage: Eukaryota; Viridiplantae; Streptophyta; Magnoliopsida; Fabales; Fabaceae. The record is from RNAcentral.
UCGGAUCGAAGUCCAGCAACGGAUAAAGAGACAAAAUACAGCGAAAAAAGCGGUGAACUAAUGCAAAGUGGGCAUGUCAGUGAUCCUGGGAUUAUUGGGAGGGGAGACUUCUGGGAUUCUCCCAAGCUCACUCGAUCAUGCUCAAACCUGGAAAGAAGGGAUGUUCUUGGUAAUACAAUUCAUCAAUUCCCAGAUUCAAAGUCACAAUCUUUCGAGAAUUUACAGGAACUUACAGCAGGUAAAGUGGCUGCUAAUCUUGAAAGCCCCAGGUCUGUGAUGACUCACUGCAGUGCUGAUAGAGUUAUGUUGAGAAGGCAUUCCUCAAGCCAAGUUCUUCCUUCUGGAAGUAAGAGACUCUGGUGGAAGAUGUUCC